GGGGACGACUGGUUUUGACAGCAAGGACAGUGAAUUUGUAAGCAUAUCGAGUUAUGAAAUAACACUCGUUAAACCUAAUUUCAACUUUUUAAACGGCGAAGAUAACUACGCUUUAGCUGCAUAAUCUGAAUUAAUAGUAAGAUUAGCCUCGGCACACAAGGUGUGCAAGCUUUAUGUCCACGAAAAGCCUUGGUUUAUGGCGUUUCACUUUUGGGCAUCGUAAAAAUAAACAUAGAAAACCUGUAGCUUUGGCGGGUUUUUGAAACUAAAGAAGAUAAGUUUAAAGUGGAUUGUUCUUAAUCAGCUUUAGAUCGAAAAUUAAAUAAGAACUAAAUAUGUAGAAAGCUUUUUGGCUGCUUGUUUGGACCCGAGUUCGAUUCUCGGCGUCUCCACUU
RNAcentral lists this transfer-messenger RNA (395 nucleotides) under Polaribacter haliotis. RNAcentral describes it as "Standard tmRNA". It matches the Rfam family "transfer-messenger RNA". Rfam says of the family: Bacterial tmRNA, also known as 10Sa RNA or SsrA, is named for its dual tRNA and mRNA-like properties. Its role is to liberate the mRNA from a stalled ribosome. The record is from RNAcentral. Lineage: Bacteria; Pseudomonadati; Bacteroidota; Flavobacteriia; Flavobacteriales; Flavobacteriaceae.